Molecule: ribosomal RNA, 253 nt
Filed under: uncultured bacterium
Lineage: Bacteria
Description: partial 16S ribosomal RNA
Rfam family: Bacterial small subunit ribosomal RNA
Source: RNAcentral
UACGGAGGGUGCAAGCGUUAUCCAGAUUCACUGGGUUUAAAGGGUGCGUAGGUGGGAUGGUAAGUCAGUGGUGAAAUCUCCAAGCUUAACUUGGAAACUGCCGUUGAUACUAUCAUUCUUGAAUCUCGUGGAGGUAAGCGGAAUAUGUCAUGUAGCGGUGAAAUGCUUAGAUAUGACAUAGAACACCGAUAGCGAAGGCAGCUUGCUACACGAGUAUUGACACUGAGGCACGAAAGCGUGGGGAGCGAACAGG